UACGUAGGGGGCAAGCGUUGUCCGGAAUCACUGGGCGUAAAGCGCGCGCAGGCGGUCAUCUACGUCUGGGGUGAAAGCCCGGAGCUCAACUCCGGGAUUGCCUUGGAUACGGGAUGACUUGAGGAUCGGAGAGGCAAGGGGAAUUCCACGUGUAGCGGUGAAAUGCGUAGAGAUCGGGAAGAACAUCGGUGGCGAAAGCGCUCUACUGGACCGCAACUGACACUCAGGGACGAAAGCUAGGGGAGCGAAUGGG
This 253-nucleotide ribosomal RNA is filed under the name uncultured bacterium. RNAcentral's name for it is "partial 16S ribosomal RNA". It matches the Rfam family "Bacterial small subunit ribosomal RNA", at positions 524 to 776 of the family's 1533-position model. The record is from RNAcentral.